AGCAACGCCGCGUGAACGAUGAAGGCCUUCGGGUCGUAAAGUUCUGUUGUUAGGGAAGAACAAGUACCAGAGUAACUGCUGGUACCUUGACGGUACCUAACCAGAAAGCCACGGCUAACUACGUGCCAGCAGCCGCGGUAAUACGUAGGUGGCAAGCGUUGUCCGGAAUUAUUGGGCGUAAAGCGCUCGCAGGCGGUUUCUUAAGUCUGAUGUGAAAGCCCACGGCUCAACCGUGGAGGGUCAUUGGAAACUGGGGAACUUGAGUGCAGAAGAGGAGAGUGGAAUUCCACGUGUAGCGGUGAAAUGCGUAGAGAUGUGGAGGAACACCAGUGGCGAAGGCGACUCUCUGGUCUGUAACUGACGCUGAGGAGCGAAAGCGUGGGGAGCGAACAGGAUUAGAUACCCUGGUAGUCCACGCCGUAAACGAUGAGUGCUAAGUGUUAGAGGGUUUCCGCCCUUUAGUGCUGCAGCAAACGCAUUAAGCA
This 485-nucleotide ribosomal RNA is filed under the name Metabacillus litoralis. RNAcentral's name for it is "bacterial SSU rRNA". It matches the Rfam family "Bacterial small subunit ribosomal RNA", at positions 390 to 866 of the family's 1533-position model. Lineage: Bacteria; Bacillati; Bacillota; Bacilli; Caryophanales; Bacillaceae. The record is from RNAcentral.